CCUACGGGUGGCAGCAGUGGGGGAUAUUGCACAAUGGGGGGAACCCUGAUGCAGCGACGCCGCGUGGGUGAAGAAGCGCCUCGGCGCGUAAAGCCCUGUCAGCAGGGAAGAAAGUGACGUUACCUGUAACAGAAGCCCCGGCUAACUACGUGCCAGCAGCCGCGGUAAUACGUAGGGGGCAAGCGUUAUCCGGAUUUACGGGGUGUAAAGGGGGCGCAGACGGCGAUGCAAGCCAGGAGUGAAAGCCCGGGGCUCAACCCGGGGACUGCUCUUGGAACUGCGUGGCUGGAGUGCAGGAGGGGGAGGUGGAAUUCCUGGUGUAGCGGUGAAAUGCGUAGAUAUCAGGAGGAACACCGGUGGCGAAGGCGGCCUGCUGGACUGAAACUGACGUUGAGGCCCGAAAGCGUGGGGAGCAAACAGGAUUAGAUACCCCGGUAGUC
This 440-nucleotide ribosomal RNA is filed under the name uncultured bacterium. RNAcentral's name for it is "partial 16S ribosomal RNA". It matches the Rfam family "Bacterial small subunit ribosomal RNA", at positions 338 to 795 of the family's 1533-position model. The record is from RNAcentral.